AAAGAUUUUAAAUAGGGGAAGUACCAUGUCAUAAAAGUGGUUUUCCCAGGGGAGGAUCAUCCAUUGGACUUUGGGUGUGCUGCUGAUCCCUGUGAUUUCCCCAAAUGUGGGGAACUCAUCUGCAUAAUUUAUGUUAAUGGGGGGAUUGCAUUUAUGAUUUCCCUGU
RNAcentral lists this small nuclear RNA (166 nucleotides) under Pogona vitticeps (central bearded dragon). RNAcentral describes it as "U1 spliceosomal RNA (ENSPVIG00000001661.1)". It matches the Rfam family "U1 spliceosomal RNA". From Rfam's summary of the family: U1 is a small nuclear RNA (snRNA) component of the spliceosome (involved in pre-mRNA splicing). Its 5' end forms complementary base pairs with the 5' splice junction, thus defining the 5' donor site of an intron. Lineage: Eukaryota; Metazoa; Chordata; Lepidosauria; Squamata; Agamidae. The record is from RNAcentral.